GGACUACCGGGGUUUCUAAUCCUGUUUGCUCCCCACGCUUUCGUGCAUGAGCGUCAGUAUUGACCCAGGGGGCUGCCUUCGCCAUCGGUAUUCCUCCACAUCUCUACGCAUUUCACUGCUACACGUGGAAUUCUACCCCCCUCUGCCAUACUCGAGCGAUGCAGUCACCAAUGCAGUUCCCAGGUUAAGCCCGGGGAUUUCACAUCGGUCUUAGCGGACCGCCUGCGCACGCUUUACGCCCAGUAAUUCCGAUUAACGCUCGCACCCUACGUAUUACCGCGGCGGCUGGCAC
This 292-nucleotide ribosomal RNA is filed under the name uncultured bacterium. Its description in RNAcentral is "partial 16S ribosomal RNA". RNAcentral also lists the same sequence under 1 other name. The record is from RNAcentral.